GGCAAGAUGGCCGAGCACGGUCAUGGCGCUACGUUCAGGUCGUAGUGGAGAAAUCCGCCUGGGUUCAAAUCCCAGUCUUGUCA
RNAcentral lists this transfer RNA (83 nucleotides) under Beauveria bassiana. Its description in RNAcentral is "tRNA-Val". It matches the Rfam family "tRNA". From Rfam's summary of the family: Transfer RNA (tRNA) molecules are approximately 80 nucleotides in length. Their secondary structure includes four short double-helical elements and three loops (D, anti-codon, and T loops). Lineage: Eukaryota; Fungi; Ascomycota; Sordariomycetes; Hypocreales; Cordycipitaceae. The record is from RNAcentral.